This is a long non-coding RNA of Lagenorhynchus albirostris (white-beaked dolphin), 418 nucleotides long. RefSeq lists it as uncharacterized. Lineage: Eukaryota; Metazoa; Chordata; Mammalia; Artiodactyla; Delphinidae. The transcript is spliced from 3 exons. The record is from RefSeq and is a predicted model, not a curated record.
GCUGAAUUCUACUUUUGAAGUGGUGGUAUUCCGUGAGGAGGUGACAAGACUCCUCGAGGAGGGAGGUGUACCCGGGAGCCGCAUGGAGUGUGUGUGGUUCAGACAUCAACAGUCUUGAAUGAGCAAUCACAGGGCAUGUUCCCCAGACAGAAUGGAAACUGGCUGUUGGCCCUUGCCUGCCUCAUGUGAAACACCAAGUUUAAUUUCAGGUGGUGCCCUUGAGAGGCGAUUAGGUCGUAAGGGUGGAACCCUCAUGAAUGGUAUUAAUGCCCUUGGAAAAGAGGCUCCAGAGAGCUUUCUCACCCCUUCCACCAGGUGAGGACACAGUGAGAAGAUGGCCAUCUAUCAACCAGGAAGCAGGCUCUCACCAGACACUGAAUCUGGUGGCACCUUGAUCUUGGGCUUCCCAGCCUCCAGA